This 463-nucleotide ribosomal RNA is filed under the name uncultured bacterium. RNAcentral's name for it is "bacterial SSU rRNA". It matches the Rfam family "Bacterial small subunit ribosomal RNA", at positions 28 to 526 of the family's 1533-position model. The record is from RNAcentral.
GAUGAACGCUGGCGGCGUGCCUAAUACAUGCAAGUCGAGCGGCAGCGCGGUCUUCGGACUGGCGGCGAGCGGCGGACGGCUGAGUAACGCGUAGGAACGUACCCUAAAGUGAGGGAUAACUGCUCGAAAGAGUAGCUAAUACCGCAUGUGCUCUACGGAGUAAAGCUUCGGCGCUUUGGGAACGGCCUGCGUAAGAUUAGCUUGUUGGUGAGGUAAAAGCUCACCAAGGCGACGAUCUUUAGCUGGUCUGAGAGGAUGAUCAGCCAGACUGGGACUGAGAACGGCCCAGACUCCUACGGGAGGCAGCAGUAGGGAAUUUUCCACAAUGGGCGAAAGCCUGAUGGAGCAACGCCGCGUGCAGGAUGAAUGCCUUCGGGUUGUAAACUGCUUUUCUCUGUGACGAUUAUGACGGUAGCAGAGGAAUAAGGACCUGCUAACUACGUGCCAGCCGCCGCCGUAAAAC